CGGAGCAUGCGGAUUAAUUCGAUGCAACGCGAAGAACCUUACCAAGGCUUGACAUACACCGGUAACGCCAGAGAUGGGUGCCCCUUUGUGGUCGGUGUACAGGUGGUGCAUGGUUGUCGUCAGCUCGUGUCGUGAGAUGUUGGGUUAAGUCCCGCAACGAGCGCAACCCUUGUCUUUAAUUGCCAUCAUUGAGUUGGGCACUUUAAAGAGACUGCCGGUGUUAAACCGGAGGAAGGCGGGGAUGACGUCAAGUCCUCAUGGCCCUUACAUCCCGGGCUACACACGUGCUACAAUGGCAGGUACAGAGGGCUGCGAAGCCGCGAGGUGGAGCGAAUCCCAGAAAACCUGUCUCAGUCCGGAUUGAAGUCUGCAACUCGACUUCAUGAAGGCGGAAUCGCUAGUAACCGCGAAUCAGCAGGUCGCGGUGAAUACGUUCCCGGGCCUU
RNAcentral lists this ribosomal RNA (445 nucleotides) under uncultured Lachnospiraceae bacterium. Its description in RNAcentral is "bacterial SSU rRNA". It matches the Rfam family "Bacterial small subunit ribosomal RNA", at positions 933 to 1382 of the family's 1533-position model. Lineage: Bacteria; Bacillati; Bacillota; Clostridia; Lachnospirales; Lachnospiraceae. The record is from RNAcentral.